Molecule: ribosomal RNA, 253 nt
Filed under: uncultured bacterium
Lineage: Bacteria
Description: partial 16S ribosomal RNA
Rfam family: Bacterial small subunit ribosomal RNA
Source: RNAcentral
UACGUAGGGUCCGAGCGUUGUCCGGAAUUAUUGGGCGUAAAGGGCUCGUAGGCGGUUUGUCGCGUCGGGAGUGAAAACACGGGGCUUAACCCCGUGCCUGCUUCCGAUACGGGCAGACUAGAGGUAUGCAGGGGAGAACGGAAUUCCUGGUGUAGCGGUGAAAUGCGCAGAUAUCAGGAGGAACACCGGUGGCGAAGGCGGUUCUCUGGGCAUUACCUGACGCUGAGGAGCGAAAGUGUGGGGAUCAAACAGG